UCAUGUACAGAGAGUCUGAGACAUGAAACCUAAUUUUUUUUUUCCGCCUCUGCUCUCGAUCUUAGUUUCCAGUACUAAAAUUGAAAGAGUGAUUCGAGAAUUCCAUAGAACUCUGGGAAUUUGAUUUGAUGGUGCAAAGCAAUCGUAAAUCUAAGAACAGAUUUGAAGCAGUUGGCGUAUAAAAGAUCUAUCGGCUACAACAAGAGAUUCACAAAAUGAAUCUGGUAAGACCAAAGGCUUAGGAGAUGACUCUCCUUGAUGAGCAGCGGAAGCAGUGCGAGGCAAAAGUUUUCCCAGUUGAAUGCAGAGAUUGGAGAAUUUGAUGAAACCGUUGAAAGGGAUUUAUCACCGUUUUGUCCAAGAGCUAGAAGCGAACAUUGAAGAACUCAAUCAGAAAAUAUUAGGACUGAAGAAUAAGCAGAUGUCACUGCGAGCUACCUUUCAAAAAGAGUACACAGAUGGAUAACGAGAUUUCCAAAGCAGAGCUUGAUCUUUUGCAAACUGUCCAAGAAAAUGCACACCUCCGCUCACAAAUUGUUCAAUCUCCAGACAAAUUUUGCAGAUAUUUUCACUCUGGGCCGUGACAGAAGCUAUGGGGGAUUGAGCUUCUCAUCUCAAGAUGUUGGUCAAGUUUUAGCUAUAUCAGGACUUGGGCUUCUGGUGUUCCAACUUUUGGUAUACCCACCGUUAGCUAAGGCCCUCACACUCCUUGUGAUUAUACGUCUUUCUGCGGUAAAUCUGGGGUUGAAGUUUCUCGAUUUUCGAAUGUUGCUCUUUGGUUUCUUAUAUCGAAUCUCUAAGAGUAGGCUUGCUGGGCGGAUGGCGUUUUAGAUUUCAGCACCAAAACCAGACCCGUGGCGAAGAUAAAGGCGAUAAGGAAGGGGCUUUGGUACUACAACUCUUCACUCACUUUUGUUCAGAUUUUCAGAAGCUGAAUUUAUGAUCUGACUUAAAGCUGUUACUUUUUGUUGUUUUCUUUAGCUAAGGUGAGUUAGUUUACCAUUGCACUGUUUUAUUAGGAGAUCGCAGAGAUGUUUCUUUCAAAAGUUUUGAGUUUUUCUCUCAUUUUUAUGUCCUUGGGAGACUUCAAGAACCUUGGUCUCUUUUUGUUCUGAAAUCUGAAUUGAUCAAGUAUUAUAUAAUACAGAUUCAUCAAAAGUGUUUGCA
Molecule: non-coding RNA, 1167 nt
Organism: Camelina sativa (false flax)
Lineage: Eukaryota; Viridiplantae; Streptophyta; Magnoliopsida; Brassicales; Brassicaceae
Source: RefSeq, a predicted model, not a curated record